This 515-nucleotide ribosomal RNA is filed under the name uncultured bacterium. RNAcentral's name for it is "bacterial SSU rRNA". It matches the Rfam family "Bacterial small subunit ribosomal RNA", at positions 29 to 518 of the family's 1533-position model. The record is from RNAcentral.
AACGAACGCUGGUAGCGUGGAUUAGGCAUGCAAGUCGAACGGGAUCCGGAAGGUAGCAAUAUCGUCCGGUGAGAGUGGCGGAAGGGCGAGGAACGCGUGGACAACCUGUCCAGUGGGACGGGGAAAACUCCGGGAAACUGGAGCUAAUACCCGAUACGGUCGCGGAGCGGCAUCGCUUCAGCGGCAAAGGGGGCGCCGCAAGGGCUCCCGCCAACGAGGGGUCCGCGUAUCAUCAGCUUGUUGGCGGGUAACGGCCACCAAGGCUUACGAUUAGCUGGUCUGAGAGGAUGGCCAGCCGCACUGGGACUGAGAUACUGCCCAGACUCCUACGGGAGGCUGCAGUCGAGGAUCAUUCGCAAUGGGGGAAACCCUGGACGAUGCGACGCUGCGUGGAGGAAUGAAGGCCUUCGGGUUGUAAACUCCCGUCAUGAGGGAAAAGGCGAGAGUACCCAACACGUACUUUAGUUGAUGGUACCUCAAGAGGAAGCGACGGCUAACUCUGUGCCAGCCGCUGC